CCGCACUAGAUGGGGAGCUAGCGGUGCCCUGCACCCGCAAUCCGCUACAGCGGGGUCGAAUUCCUCCCAGAGGCCUGCCCCGUGGGCCUAUAUCGUGGACGGAGGUCGUUGAGGGCCGGGUCCCACGCGACGCAGUCCUGUGAACCCCGCCAGGUCCGAAAGGAAGCAACGGUAAGCAGUGCAUUGCGGGUGCCGUGGGAGUGCCUGGCCUGAGUCGUCCGCCACGACACGCUCAUUUGUCAGUGUCGACCGGAGGUGCGCGG
Molecule: signal recognition particle RNA, 263 nt
Filed under: Chloroflexota bacterium
Lineage: Bacteria; Bacillati; Chloroflexota
Description: Chloroflexi bacterium signal recognition particle sRNA large type
Rfam family: Bacterial large signal recognition particle RNA
About the family: The signal recognition particle (SRP) is a universally conserved ribonucleoprotein involved in the co-translational targeting of proteins to membranes. Archaeal SRP consists of a 7S RNA and homologues of the eukaryotic SRP19 and SRP54 proteins.
Source: RNAcentral